This 633-nucleotide ribosomal RNA is filed under the name uncultured Marinobacter sp. RNAcentral's name for it is "bacterial SSU rRNA". It matches the Rfam family "Bacterial small subunit ribosomal RNA", at positions 870 to 1504 of the family's 1533-position model. The record is from RNAcentral. Lineage: Bacteria; Pseudomonadati; Pseudomonadota; Gammaproteobacteria; Pseudomonadales; Marinobacteraceae.
CGCCUGGGGAGUGCGGCCGCAAGGUUAAAACUCGAAUGAAUUGACGGGGCCCGCACAAGCGGUGGAGCAUGUGGUUUAAUUCGACGCAACGCGAAGAACCUUACCUGGCCCUGACAUGCAGAGAACUUUCCAGAGAUGGAUUGGUGCCUUCGGGAACUCUGACACAGGUGCUGCAUGGCCGUCGUCAGCUCGUGUCGUGAGAUGUUGGGUUAAGUCCCGUAACGAGCGCAACCCCUAUCCCUAGUUGCUAGCAGUUCGGCUGAGAACUCUAGGGAGACUGCCGGUGACAAACCGGAGGAAGGUGGGGAUGACGUCAGGUCAUCAUGGCCCUUACGGCCAGGGCUACACACGUGCUACAAUGGUGCGCACAGAGGGCUGCGAACCCGCGAGGGGGAGCCAAUCUCACAAAACGCAUCGUAGUCCGGAUCGCAGUCUGCAACUCGACUGCGUGAAGUCGGAAUCGCUAGUAAUCGUGAAUCAGAAUGUCACGGUGAAUACGUUCCCGGGCCUUGUACACACCGCCCGUCACACCAUGGGAGUGGAUUGCACCAGAAGUGGUUAGUCUAACCUUCGGGAGGACGAUCACCACGGUGUGGUUCAUGACUGGGGUGAAGUCGUAACAAGGUAACCGUA